GAUGGACGCUGGCGGCGUGCCUAAUACAUGCAAGUCGAGCGAACAGAUGAGGAGCUUGCUCCUCUGACGUUAGCGACGGACGGGUGAGUAACACGUGGAUAACCUACCUAUAAGACUGGGAUAACUUCGGGAAACCGGAGCUAAUACCGGAUAAUAUAUUGAACCGCAUGGUUCAAUAGUGAAAGACGGUUUUGCUGUCACUUAUAGAUGGAUCCGCGCCGCAUUAGCUAGUUGGUAAGGUAACGGCUUACCAAGGCAACGAUGCGUAGCCGACCUGAGAGGGUGAGCGGCCACAGUGGAACGACGACGCGGAGAGGAGUACGAGGGGAGGGAGAAGUCGGGAUUUGGACGAAGUGGGGGGAAGCCUGACGAAACGGUGCGGGGGGAGAGAUAAAUGUGUAGGGAUCGAAAAACUUUUUUAUGAGGGAAAAAAAAAGGUCAAGGGAAAUCUGCGCGCCUGGAGGGGCCAUAAUCAAGAAGCACCGGCUAACUGCGGC
RNAcentral lists this ribosomal RNA (497 nucleotides) under uncultured bacterium. RNAcentral's name for it is "partial 16S ribosomal RNA". It matches the Rfam family "Bacterial small subunit ribosomal RNA", at positions 28 to 508 of the family's 1533-position model. The record is from RNAcentral.